CUACGGGUCGCUGCAGUGAGGAAUAUUGGACAAUGGAUGGCAAUCUGAUCCAGCCAUGCCGCGUGAAGGAAGAAUGUCCUAUGGAUUGUAAACUUCUUUUGUAUGGGAGCAAUAAGUUGUACGCGUACAAUGAUGAGAGUACCAUACGAAUAAGCAUCGGCUAACUCCGUGCCAGCAGCCGCGGUAAUACGGAGGAUGCGAGCGUUAUCCGGAUUUAUUGGGUUUAAAGGGUGCGUAGGCGGUUACUGUAAGUCAGCGGUGAAAUUUAGGGGCUUAACCCCUACCGUGCCGUUGAUACUGCAGAGCUGGAAUAGGGAUGCUGUUGGCGGAAUGUGUAGUGUAGCGGUGAAAUGCAUAGAUAUUACACAGAACACCGAUUGCGAAGGCAGCUGACAAAUCCCUUAUUGACGCUGAUGCACGAAAGUGUGGGGAUCGAACAGGAUUAGAUACCCCUGUAGUC
RNAcentral lists this ribosomal RNA (460 nucleotides) under uncultured bacterium. Its description in RNAcentral is "partial 16S ribosomal RNA". It matches the Rfam family "Bacterial small subunit ribosomal RNA", at positions 339 to 795 of the family's 1533-position model. The record is from RNAcentral.